Molecule: ribosomal RNA, 484 nt
Filed under: uncultured bacterium
Lineage: Bacteria
Description: partial 16S ribosomal RNA
Rfam family: Bacterial small subunit ribosomal RNA
Source: RNAcentral
AUUGAACGCUGGCGGAAUGCUUUACACAUGCAAGUCGAGCGGCAGCACGGGGGCAACCCCGGUGGCGAGCGGCGAACGGGUGAGUAAUACAUCGGAACAUGCCCAGUCGUGGGGGAUAACACUUCGAAAGAAGUGCUAAUACCGCAUACGUCCUGAGGGAGAAAGCGGGGGAUCGCAAGACCUCGCGCGAUUGGAGUGGCCGAUGUCAGAUUAGCUAGUUGGUGGGGUAAAGGCCUACCAAGGCAACGACCUGUAGCUGGUCUGAGAGGAUGAUCAGCCACACUGGGACUGAGACACGGCCCAGACUCCUACGGGAGGCAGCAGUGGGGAAUUUUGGACAAUGGGGGCAACCCUGAUCCAGCCAUUCCGCGUGAGUGAAGAAGGCCUUCGGGUUGUAAAGCUCUUUCGGCAGGAACGAAACGGCGAGCUCUAACAUAGCUUGCUAAUGACGGUACCUGAAGAAGAAGCACCGGCUAACUACGUG